Molecule: ribosomal RNA, 966 nt
Filed under: gut metagenome
Description: bacterial SSU rRNA
Rfam family: Bacterial small subunit ribosomal RNA
Source: RNAcentral
AGAGUUUGAUCCUGGCUCAGGACGAACGCUGGCGGCGCGCCUAACACAUGCAAGUCGAACGAGAGAGAGGGAGCUUGCUUCCUCAAUCGAGUGGCGAACGGGUGAGUAACGCGUGAGGAACCUGCCUCAAAGAGGGGGACAACAGUUGGAAACGACUGCUAAUACCGCAUAAGCCCACGGCUCGGCAUCGAGCAGAGGGAAAAGGAGCAAUCCGCUUUGAGAUGGCCUCGCGUCCGAUUAGCUAGUUGGUGAGGUAAUGGCCCACCAAGGCGACGAUCGGUAGCCGGACUGAGAGGUUGAACGGCCACAUUGGGACUGAGACACGGCCCAGACUCCUACGGGAGGCAGCAGUGGGGAAUAUUGCACAAUGGGGGAAACCCUGAUGCAGCGACGCCGCGUGGAGGAAGAAGGUCUUCGGAUUGUAAACUCCUGUUGUUGAGGAAGAUAAUGACGGUACUCAACAAGGAAGUGACGGCUAACUACGUGCCAGCAGCCGCGGUAAAACGUAGGUCACAAGCGUUGUCCGGAAUUACUGGGUGUAAAGGGAGCGCAGGCGGGAAGACAAGUUGGAAGUGAAAUCCAUGGGCUCAACCCAUGAACUGCUUUCAAAACUGUUUUUCUUGAGUAGUGCAGAGGUAGGCGGAAUUCCCGGUGUAGCGGUGGAAUGCGUAGAUAUCGGGAGGAACACCAGUGGCGAAGGCGGCCUACUGGGCACCAACUGACGCUGAGGCUCGAAAGUGUGGGUAGCAAACAGGAUUAGAUACCCUGGUAGUCCACACCGUAAACGAUGAUUACUAGGUGUUGGAGGAUUGACCCCUUCAGUGCCGCAGUUAACACAAUAAGUAAUCCACCUGGGGAGUACGACCGCAAGGUUGAAACUCAAAGGAAUUGACGGGGGCCCGCACAAGCAGUGGAGUAUGUGGUUUAAUUCGACGCAACGCGAAGAACCUUACCAAGUCUUGACAU